RNAcentral lists this ribosomal RNA (468 nucleotides) under uncultured bacterium. Its description in RNAcentral is "partial 16S ribosomal RNA". It matches the Rfam family "Bacterial small subunit ribosomal RNA", at positions 28 to 507 of the family's 1533-position model. The record is from RNAcentral.
GACGAACGCUGGCGGCGUGCUUAACACAUGCAAGUCGAACGGAAAGGCCCUGCUUUUGUGGGGUGCUCGAGUGGCGAACGGGUGAGUAACACGUGAGUAACCUGCCCUUGACUUUGGGAUAACUUCAGGAAACUGGAGCUAAUACCGGAUAGGAGCUCCUGCUGCAUGGUGGGGGUUGGAAAGGUUCGGCGGUUGGGGAUGGACUCGCGGCUUAUCAGCUUGUUGGUGGGGUAGUGGCUUACCAAGGCUUUGACGGGUAGCCGGCCUGAGAGGGUGACCGGCCACAUUGGGACUGAGAUACGGCCCAGACUCCUACGGGAGGCAGCAGUGGGGAAUAUUGCAAAAUGGGCGGAAGCCUGAUGCAGCAACGCCGCGUGCGGGAUGACGGCCUUCGGGUUGUAAACCGCUUUCGCCUGUGACGAAGCGUGAGUGACGGUAAUGGGUAAAGAAGCACCGGCUAACUACGUG